Sinocyclocheilus grahami is the source of this 1654-nucleotide long non-coding RNA. NCBI's taxonomy places the organism in Eukaryota, Metazoa, Chordata, Actinopteri, Cypriniformes, Cyprinidae. The record is from Ensembl.
UGAGAACUCCUUCGCUGCUGUUUAAAAGCCUCACAGAAUCGAUUCUUUAGUUCUCACCUGUCUCUUGUGUUCGGAUCUCUCACAUGACAGGGAGAAUGGGGACAGAGGAAGGGUCUGUAACACAAACGAAUUGCUGAAGGUUCUUCGAAGUUUUUGGAAAACUAAAUGCCCAAAACGGAUAUUCACAGACCACCUGAAAGCUCACCCGGGAGGGACAGCUCGGGUUUACAGAAACGCUGCUCCGACGAUACCGAGCCGAACUAUUAGAGCUGAAUACUGUCGUCCCGUCGCUGCAGUGCCAGCAAUCAACAGUUGGGAGUUAAAAAAAAAUUCUGUCACUCAGAAGAGAGUGCAGUUCUCUCACCUGACGUUCGUGAUCAUGGGGGCGCUGUUCGACCUUCGGAGGGCUCCUCCUGCGCCUGCGCACUGGUCCACCUCCAUCCUCUCCAUAGCUCGUCCUCUGGCGCCGGGACUGCGCGUCACUCACGGCCGGGCUGAACGCGACCUGACGCGGCCUAACCCCCAAAUCUCACCCGGCAAAAGCCCGACCAGCAGGCCUCACGCCAAAAUACCCGAUCCAAUUUAACCGAAUGAACUGCUUUCCCGUGUCUAUCGCAUUUUGUUUUAUUUUCCAAACGAAAUAGUGUCAGCUUGAUAUACUAAUUUACUGAACAGCUGUGAGCUCGAGCUGCAGCUGGUUUAUCGGAUCGCACACAAACUUAGUAUAAACUCCUCAGGUUGCUUUCGUCGGCGUAAACAGGAAGCAAAUACAGUUAUUUCUUAGCAUUAAAGAGAUUUUUCGUAUUCAGACCACAAGUUAUGUAUAGUCGGCACUAACGUUAUUUCCGAAGCAAAGCCACAAACAAGGUCCUUUGGCUUUUUAAUCCAAUCCAACUUAUCCAAACAGAGCAAAUAUAACAUCGAAAAGCAAAAACAGAACAUAAGCGAAUAAAUACGGAUAAAAGUGGUCAGAAAAUACGCUUUCGGGUCUUUUCGGUCAAAUGUCGUUAUAAAGGUGAAGCUUUCUGCCACGGCUUGUUUUUUUUUUCAAGUUUACCUGCUAGUUUGUAAAGCAGUCGGAGAAAUGACAUAACACCAUCCCGAUCAAACAUAUGAUCGUCGGCUCUGUCGGCGAAAGCAUCCUCAUCUAAAAGUGUCUGCUGAUACAGUCUGAAACACGGAAUACAUUAAAAGUUUUCGGUCAUUUCUUAAUUUAGAAAAUAAAACAUAUUUCCCGCAACCAAAUAGAGAUUGUGCAUCCCCUUGUACAACAGCGCCUCGCUCUGGUCAACAAGAGAAUUGCACGCAGAGAUAAAGCACUGCUCGAGACAAGUGAAUAUGUGGCGUACAGCUACAGUAUUUACUGCAAGAUACAUAGAGUUUGCUUUUCAGAUUAAUCUGAUUAAAAGAACACGUAAUACGAUUAAUGAAAGAAAAAGGGUAAAUAUUACAGAUUAGGGUUGUUUUCAUUGAGGAUUAGUUCAAAAGAGUCACCUUGGGAUGCAUGACAGUCUUACUAACCCAUCACACAUCAGCAAUACACUACUCAUGUAUUAGAUGUUAAAUGCUGUAAAAGUAUUGUUCAUUUUUCUUUUGUGAUUCCUAAUGCCUUAACUACUUUUAACAAAUCAAACCUCAUUGUAAAAUGCUGCCA